This is an RNA transcript of Belonocnema kinseyi, 905 nucleotides long. RefSeq lists it as uncharacterized. The record is from RefSeq and is a predicted model, not a curated record. The transcript is spliced from 3 exons. Lineage: Eukaryota; Metazoa; Arthropoda; Insecta; Hymenoptera; Cynipidae.
ACUUAGAGAGGGCGUAAAAAGCGUAAAUCAUAAAAAGCGUAGGGCAAGUUAAGACUCGCGAGAUGCGUAAAAUUAGGGCUGCCAACAUUCUGCAAUUCGGAAUCGUUAUUAAAGUUUUGUUGCCCCGUUACAUAUUACUUGAAUUAAAAAUUAAGUUGUGUGAGAGAUUUAUUAAUCAUGACGAGCGAGAAGUACUUGCCGGUUAUAUUUCUGGGUUAUGUUUAGAUGCUGCGGUAUCUUUGGAUGCUUUUUUCCAACAAAGUCUAAAUAUUACGAGUGCAUUUAUGCGAGAAACAAUUAUUUUAGAAUAUAUCGCUACAGAACAUUUUUUAAUAUUCUUGGAAUUGUAUUUGUUGGAGUACACACGAAUGGAACCAUGAUACGUAUAUUUUCAGGAAUUCUCCAUUUUAUAAGAAUUAUGAGCAACUUAUGUACCAGUAAUGGGAGAUCCUGCGUAUCCACUACUAACGUGGUUGAUAAAGCGAUUCAUUCGCACAGAAGCUAGAUCUGCGAACGAAGAGUCGUUCAAUGCUUAUAUGAACAAAGGACGCGUGAAAGUGGAACUCGCCUUCGGAAGGUUGACAAGUCGAUGGAGACGAUUAGCAAAACGUUUUGAUGUCCAUUAUUCUUUUGUCCCCGAGAUGGUUGCUGCCUGCUGUAUGGUACAUUACAGAAUAUUUUGGAAACGAGUAGAGACAGUAAUGACAAAAAUUGGGAAAAUCAAAGAAAACAUGACGAACUAUUAUUUCCUCAACCCAAAAGAGAUGAAGGUGUCGGUGAGGAGACAGCUGAUGGCAAACGAGUUCGAAAUGUUUUGCUUGACAUUAUUUCUCAAUUGCCGAAAAGAAAAUCGCUCCGCUAAAAUGUUAAUUUUUAAAAUUCAUUACGUUACAUGAACGAAAUUU